This 752-nucleotide long non-coding RNA is filed under the name Olea europaea (common olive). RNAcentral describes it as "long non-coding RNA (OEUR_LNC000610)". Lineage: Eukaryota; Viridiplantae; Streptophyta; Magnoliopsida; Lamiales; Oleaceae. The record is from RNAcentral.
CUCAACAUCUAUCUCUCUCUCUAUGUUCUCUAUCUUCCUCAACUAAACUGGGUCAGAUUUACUGGUUAGUAAAAAAGUAUGUGGUGAGUUCAACUGAUUUGGGAGUGGCGUAGGGAAAGUCUAAACUUACAAAGUUUUUUUCUUAAUGUGAUGAUUUAGAGGAGCGUUGGAGCUGUAUAGGUUUUGAGGUCACUAGAUGCAACGGCGGAUGAUUAAUUACGACGGCUUUACGAUAGUUUUAGAAGGAAGGCCAGCAGCCGAUUAUCUCCUUCACCUAUUCAUCUGGCUUCGAUCUCCAUUAUUCCCAAUUUUUCUUAGAAAGUAAUUUAUCUCUCACUUUCUUUUUUUAUUUUAAUUUCAACUGUUGGAUUGUCAAUUUGUCUCUGAACAGUUUGAUUUUAUGAUUUGUUUGUUCCAAUCAAAUGAAGAAUAACAUAAAUUAAAUACGAUACAUGAAUUAAGAGGUAGUAACUAAUUAAGUUGCGUGGAUUGGUUUUGACAGAAAGGAGAAGCUAAUGGCAUUGGGAUCAAGAAAUUUCUUUCCAUGACUAAAGGGGUCAGCCUUCAUGGCAUUGUGGUGGUGAGAUGAUGAUUUUUUUUAGUGGUGUUGACGGUGGCGGGCGAAAUGGGUCUGAUGAAGAAUGGUUGUGACCAAUUGUUGGGUAAUCGUUACCAAUAAAAUGAAUAUAUUGUGAUCAUUAAUAAAUAAUACGUGACCUAAAAAUGUAUGAUUUGUGAUUAAAUUUAUAAUG